GAUGAACGCUAGCUACAGGCUUAACACAUGCAAGUCGAGGGGAAACGAUAUUGGAAGCUUGCUUCCGAUAGGCGUCGACCGGCGCACGGGUGAGUAACGCGUAUCCAACCUGCCCACCACUUGGGGAUAACCUUGCGAAAGUAAGACUAAUACCCAAUGACGUCUCUAGAAGACAUCUGAAAGAGAUUAAAGAUUUAUCGGUGAUGGAUGGGGAUGCGUCUGAUUAGCUUGUUGGCGGGGUAACGGCCCACCAAGGCAACGAUCAGUAGGGGUUCUGAGAGGAAGGUCCCCCCACAUUGGAACUGAGACACGGUCCAAACUCCUACGGGAGGCAGCAGUGAGGAAUAUUGGUCAAUGGGCGAGAGCCUGAACCAGCCAAGUAGCGUGCAGGACGACGGCCCUAUGGGUUGUAAACUGCUUUUAUGCGGGGAUAAAGUGAGGGAUGCAUCCCUUUUUGCAGGUACCGCAUGAAUAAGGACCGGCUAAUUCCGUG
RNAcentral lists this ribosomal RNA (493 nucleotides) under uncultured bacterium. Its description in RNAcentral is "bacterial SSU rRNA". It matches the Rfam family "Bacterial small subunit ribosomal RNA", at positions 28 to 507 of the family's 1533-position model. The record is from RNAcentral.